Non-coding RNA from Delphinapterus leucas (beluga whale), 4275 nucleotides. The record is from RefSeq and is a predicted model, not a curated record. Lineage: Eukaryota; Metazoa; Chordata; Mammalia; Artiodactyla; Monodontidae.
UUCCGCGUACCGGCACAAACUGGACGCGAGUCCCUGACGCAGCGUCCUGGGGCACUGAGGGUGGCGGCCUAGUCUUUGUAACCAGAGCUCCGCAUUCUCCGCGUUCUCGCUGCUGCCGCCUUCCGGGACGAUGGUGGUCGGCCUGCUGCUGCGCGCCUGGCCCCGGGGCCUUGCCUUUGGCCCGGGAGCCCUCAGUCGGCUCCUAAGCACAGGCUUCGACCCGGGCCAGUACCUGCAGCUGAGCAUCGUGCCCACUAUGCACUACCAGGACAGUCUGCCCAGGCUGCCUAUUCCCAAACUUGAAGACACCAUUAGGAGAUACCUCAGUGCGCAGAAGCCUCUCUUGGAUGAUGGCCAGUUCAGGAAAACGGAACAAUUGUGUAAGAGUUUUGAAAAUGGGAUUGGAAAAGAACUGCACAAGCAGCUGGUCGCUCAGGACAAGCAGAAUAAACAUACGAGCUACAUUUCAGGUCCCUGGUUUGAUAUGUACUUAACUGCUCGAGACCCAAUUGUCCUGAACUUUAAUCCAUUUAUGUCAUUCAACCCUGACCCAAAGUCCGAGUACAACGACCAGCUCACCCGGGCAACCAACAUGACUGUCUCUGCCGUCCGGUUUCUGAAGACACUUCGGGCUGACCUUUUGGAACCAGAAGUGUUCCACUUGAACCCUGCCAAAAGUGACACUGAUACCUUCAAGAGACUCAUACGCUUUGUGCCUUCCUCUCUGUCCUGGUAUGGUGCCUACUUGGUCAAUGCAUAUCCCCUGGAUAUGUCCCAGUAUUUUCGGCUUUUCAAUUCCACUCGUUUACCCAAACCCAGUCGAGAUGAACUCUUCACUGAUGACAAGGCCAGACACCUCCUGGUCCUAAGAAAAGGACACUUCUAUGUCUUUGAUGUCCUGGAUCAAGAUGGGAACAUUGUGAGCGCCUCAGAAAUCCAGGCUCAUCUGAAGUACAUUCUCUCAGACAGUAGCCUGGCCCCCGAGUUUCCACUGUCAUAUCUGACCAGUGAGAACCGGGACAUCUGGGCAGAGCUCAGACAGAAGCUGGUGAGUGGUGGCAACGAGGAGACCCUGAGGAAAGUGGACUCUGCUGUAUUCUGUCUCUGCCUAGAUGACUUCCCCAUUAAGGACCUUGUCCACUUGUCCCACAACAUGCUGCACGGGGACGGCACAAACCGCUGGUUUGAUAAAUCCUUUAACCUCAUUAUAGCCAAGGAUGGCACUGCUGCUAUCCACUUUGAGCAUGCUUGGGGCGAUGGUGUUGCAGUGCUCAGGUUUUUUAAUGAAGUGUUUAAAGACAGCACUCAGGCCCCUGCCAUCACUCCACGGAGCCAGCCAGCUAACACUGACUCUUCUGUCGCCGUACAAAAACUCAACUUCAAGCUGAACGAUGCUUUAAAGACUGGCAUUAGCGCUGCUAAGGAAAAAUUUGACGCCACCAUGAAAACCCUCACCAUUGACUACAUCCAGUUUCAGAGAGGAGGCAAAGAAUUCCUGAAGAAGCAGAAGCUGAGCCCUGACUCAGUGGCUCAGCUGGCCUUCCAGAUGGCCCUCCUGCAACAGUACGGGCAGACAGUGGCCACCUAUGAGUCCUGUAGCACUGCAGCAUUCAAGCACGGCCGCACCGAGACCAUCCGCCCGGCCUCCAUCUUCACAAAGAGGUGCUCUGAGGCCUUUGUCAGGGAGCCCUCCAAGCACAGCGCUGGAGAGCUUCAGCACAUGAUAGCCAAGUGCUCCACGCACCACAACCAGCUGACCAAAGAAGCCGCGAUGGGUGAGACAGGGUUUGGGGAGCACGCCCUUAGGUCUUGUUGCCCUCGGCACUGGGGCCAGGGCUUUGAUCGACACUUGUUUGCUCUGCGGUACCUGGGAGCAGCCAAAGGGAUUGACCUGCCCGAGCUAUACCUGGACCCUGCAUAUAGGCAGAUAAACCACAACAUCCUGUCCACGAGCACGUUGAGCAGCCCAGCAGUGAACAUUGGCGGCUUUGCCCCCGUGGUCCCUGAUGGUUUUGGCAUUGCGUAUGCUGUUCAUGACAACUGGAUAGGCUGCAACGUCUCUGCCUACCAAGGCCGCAAUGCCCACGAGUUUCUCCAGUGUGUGGAGAAGGCCUUAGAAGGCAUGUUUGAUGCCUUAGAAGGCAAAGCCAUCAAAUCUUAACUUCUGGGUGGAUGAAAAGCCUCUAUUCCUUCAUCAACAUGAAAAUUGGGGCCUCUGUAACCAGUAGACACUGCUCUGUGACUAAUGAAACUAAUUGUGAGGCGCCUGAGCACCAGUGCUAUAAGGUGUGAGCUUUAAAACCGUGGUUUUACAGCUAAACAUGUAACUUCCAAGUGGAGCUACAUCACAACUAAAGAUAAUGUGAGAUUUCAAUUUUAAGGACAUUUGAUCAGGAGCAGCUCCCAUGUGGAGUUUCCCACGGUGCUUCGGGAAGCCAGCAAGCUCUGUCCUAGUGGCUCUUUUCCAUGACUCCUGAACAAGUAUGGCACAUCUCCAGAUCCACAGUCACACCAGCCUCUCUGGAAGUUAUCUGCUACUCUUUGAGGUGCCUCCAGGAUCCCCAGGAAACUGCCAGGAUAUUCUCCAAAGCGGUUGCACCAUUUUACAUUCCCACCAGCAGAGUGUGAAUGUUCCAGCUUCUCCACAUCUCACCAACACUUGUUUUCAUCUAUUUGGAUUAUAGCCAUUCUGAUGAGUGUGAAGUGGUAUCUCAUUGUGGGUUUUAUUAGCGUAUGUUUUAAAUUAGACCACCUCGAACAUAUUUUCCAAAUCUAGUGACACCUAUCCAAUUAUCUUCAUGUGACAGAAUAAGUGACAAAAAAGGAAUGGGAGCCAGGAUUGGAGGAGGUGGACAUGAGACAGUGGGGUAGGUGCUGAAAGGGAGAGAGUUUAGGGUGUUUCAGGAGACACAACUGGGGCUUGAUAAACAAAGAGAUGCAGGGAGCCUCCAGCAGAGAAUAGAGCUCGGGGGACUGCUUGAGCAGAAUUGGUUACAAGUAUAUCUUCUUUCUGGGAAUCUUCCAUUGUAAAGAAGACAGGGCCACUGAAUAAGCAGAAUCACAUUUGGUAUUUAUGAUAUUAAGUGGAAAACAGUUAAAUAUAAUCUUAAUGCUGCUAGGAUUAUAGCCAUAUGAAAACAUGUCUGUGUGUAGAUAGGCCCUGAAAGAGAACAGGGGAAAAUAAACACACUUCUGUUAGGGAGCUAGGAUGGUGGGGUUUAAGAAAAUGUUUAUUUCUUUUUCUGUUUUUCUUUAUUGAUAUCAUACUGUUUGUGCAACACCAGGUUGUUAGGCAGGAACCAAAAAAAAUACACGUUAGCAGCCCCCACUUCCUUACCAGCCGUCCUCAUGCCUCGUGCUUCAGCCACACUAAGCCUCCCACUGGUCUCAGACAUGUCUGAGCUUCACUGUGACUCUGUACCUUGCAAAUGCCAUCCUCCAUCCUCAGAAUGCCCUUGGCUCCAGCACAUCCUCUGCCAAAUUAGUCCUUGUUCUUUUUAGCCCAGCUCAAAUGUCCCCUCCCAUGAAGCCACGCUCAUGGGGUCUCCCCGGAAGAAUGCGUCAUCCCUUCCUCCAUAUUCCGCUACUCCCAGCUUUGGCUUCUGUUUCGGCCAGCGAGGGGCCUGACACAUAAUGUGUUAUUUCUGGAGACUGCAUUGUUCCCUCCCGGCACCCACACCUUUGCAAGGUGACUUUGUAGCGCCUCCUGUCAAGAGGCGGAGCCUAUUUUUCCCCUCCUAACUGGCCUCUAGACUCCACUCAUUCCCUCCAGUCCAUUCUCCUCACUGUAGCCAGUGGUUUUUUUCAUGUACAAGUCUGAUCAUAUCCCUGCUUAAAAUUCCUCAGUCGUUUUCCAUUAACUUGGAAAACAGUCCAUACUCCUCAGUGUGACAGUUGUGGCCUUGAUGGAGCUGGCCCUGCUCAUCUUUUCAGACCCACCUCUCUUAACAGCUUACCCUGAGGAAGUUGCCUCUACUUGGAGCAUAAGCCCCUCUCCACCCUUUCAGCUAUCUUCUGCUCAACCUUCAGGUUUCAGAUAGACUGCACCUCCUCUCACCCCACCCCUCUGAGGCUGAGUUAGUUGGUGCCCCUCCUGUGUAUGCCCAGAGCAUCCUGACAAUCUAACCUUUAUCGCAGUGCUUUUCAGUUUCUGCAGCUGUCUCCGUUACUAGGUUGUGGCUCUAUUCCCUGUGCUGUACAAUAUGUCCUUGUAGCUUAUUUUAUACAUACUAAUCCCCUACCCCUAUCUUGUCCUUCCCCCUUUCCCUCUCCCCA